GGGUUUGUGGCCCAGUGGUAAGGCGCCUCAUUUGCAUGAUUGGUGCGUUGAGGAGAUCCAGGGUUCAAUUCCCUGCGGAUCCA
Molecule: non-coding RNA, 83 nt
Organism: Kwoniella shandongensis
Lineage: Eukaryota; Fungi; Basidiomycota; Tremellomycetes; Tremellales; Cryptococcaceae
Source: the annotation of a GenBank genome assembly